GACAAACGCUGGCGGAAUGUAUUAGGCAUGCAAGUCGCACGAACCUUCGGGUUAGUGGCGGACGGGUGAGUAACACGUGGGUAACCUGCCUCGUAGUGGGGGAAUAACUCGCCGAAAGGCGAGCUAAUACCGCAUAUAACUCCUGGUGAGAAUCCUGGAAGUAAAAGCUCCGGCGCUACGAGAGGGGCCCGCGGCCGAUUAGCUUGUUGGUGGGGUAAUGGCCUACCAAGGCGACGAUCGGUAGCUGGUCUGAGAGGAUGGUCAGCCACACGGGGGACUGAGAUACGGCCCCGACUCCUACGGGAGGCAGCAGCUAAGAAUCUUGCGCAAUGGGCGAAAGCCUGACGCAGCAAUUCCGCGUGGAGGACGAAGGCCCUCGGGUCGUAAACUCCUUUUGCGAGGGAAGAAGUUCUGACGGUACCUCGCGAAUAAGCCACGGCUAA
RNAcentral lists this ribosomal RNA (443 nucleotides) under uncultured Chloroflexota bacterium. Its description in RNAcentral is "bacterial SSU rRNA". It matches the Rfam family "Bacterial small subunit ribosomal RNA", at positions 28 to 500 of the family's 1533-position model. The record is from RNAcentral. Lineage: Bacteria; Bacillati; Chloroflexota.